The submitters of this non-coding RNA (71 nucleotides) gave its source as unclassified sequences. The record is from Rfam.
GGAGUUUGAGGACGGAACGGGCAGCCGUCGCCCUUGUUAGGAGAUGUGGGAGUGUCGCCCCGCCAAAUUCU